CGAAGGGGGCUAGCGUUGUUCGGAAUUACUGGGCGUAAAGCGCGCGCAGGCGGUUUUUCAAGUCAGUGGUGAAAGCCCGGAGCUCAACUCCGGAACUGCCAUUGAAACUGUAAAACUUGAGGAUGAGAGAGGUGAGUGGAAUUCCCAGUGUAGAGGUGAAAUUCGUAGAUAUUGGGAAGAACACCGGUGGCGAAGGCGGCUCACUGGCUCAUAUCUGACGCUCAGGCGCGACAGCGUGGGGAUCAAACAGGAUUAGAUACCCUGGUAGUCCACGCCGUAAACGAUGAAUGCUAGCCGUUGGGCAGUUUGCUGUUCAGUGGCGCAGCUAACGCAUUAAGCAUUCCGCCUGGGGAGUACGGCCGCAAGGUUG
Molecule: ribosomal RNA, 370 nt
Filed under: uncultured organism
Description: bacterial SSU rRNA
Rfam family: Bacterial small subunit ribosomal RNA
Source: RNAcentral